This 411-nucleotide ribosomal RNA is filed under the name uncultured Methanolinea sp. RNAcentral describes it as "bacterial SSU rRNA". It matches the Rfam family "Archaeal small subunit ribosomal RNA", at positions 928 to 1338 of the family's 1478-position model. The record is from RNAcentral. Lineage: Archaea; Methanobacteriati; Methanobacteriota; Methanomicrobia; Methanomicrobiales; Methanoregulaceae.
CACCGGAUAAGACAGCUGGAUGAUAGCCGGGCUGAAGACUCUGCUUGACUAGCUGAGAGGAGGUGCAUGGCCGUCGUCAGUUCGUACUGUGAAGCAUCCUGUUAAGUCAGGCAACGAGCGAGACCCACGCCAACAGUUGCCAGCAUGUCCUCCGGGAUGAUGGGGACACUGUUGGGACCGCCUCUGCUAAAGAGGAGGAAGGAAUGGGCAACGGUAGGUCAGCAUGCCCCGAAUUAUCCGGGCUACACGCGGGCUACAAUGGUCAGGACAAUGGGUAUCGACACCGAGAGGUGGAGGCAAUCUCCUAAACCUGUCCUUAGUUCGGAUUGUGGGCUGCAACUCGCCCACAUGAAGCUGGAAUCCGUAGUAAUCGCGUUUCAAAAUAGCGCGGUGAAUAUGUCCCUGCUCCUU